GGACUAAUAAGUAAAUGAAAGAUGUCUCCCUCUUAACCAAUGUAAGAUAAGAGACGUGGAAUUAUAAAUAAAGUUGCACAAAUCCAUUGAAAAUCAGAUUAACGAAUUCUUCCUAAUUCUAUAAUUGAGCCAUAAUGGAAUGACAGGCAUUAAAUCAUGGGCAAGAGUUUAGCAACAAAAUUUGUUCAACAUUUACCAAUUCUGACAACAUGUCGAGAAAAAUUGAAUGAUUCAAAAACAAAAGCUUGCUAAGUUUUGAUAACUGCAACUGCAGCUAACAGCCAAGCAUUCAGCUUAUUUUCUAGUAAAACAAGAAAAAUAUCAAGUCUUCAGCAAAAAGGUAAGCUGUCUUUUGACCAUAUGCAUGGCAUCAGUACCUGUGCUCCAACUUCUCCUUUUCCUUAUAGUGUUGCACAUAACUGCAUGGAUUACAAGAAAUGAAAGCGAAGAGAAUCAGUUAGCUAGAACUUAAAAAAUAACAAAAAAAGAAAGUAAAGGCAAAAUGGAUCGAACUGCACAAAGUUAAAGAUUUCAAAGAUAGGCAAACACAAAGAUCAAUAAUAUAUUGGUAGUAAUUUUUAUAAUUUAGGCACUGUUUGUUUCAGGGCAACAAUUAUUUUCUGUGAAAAACAUUUUCCUGAUUAAUUAUGGCACUGGAUUUUUUUUUUCUAUUGUUUGAAGUACAUUACUAGCUGCC
RNAcentral lists this unclassified non-coding RNA (697 nucleotides) under Hevea brasiliensis (rubber tree). Lineage: Eukaryota; Viridiplantae; Streptophyta; Magnoliopsida; Malpighiales; Euphorbiaceae. The record is from RNAcentral.